UGAUAAUUAGUUUAAUCCAAAACAAAUGAUUUCGACUCAUUAGAUCAUGACUUAUAUCAUGAUUAUCAA
RNAcentral lists this transfer RNA (69 nucleotides) under Cystophora cristata (hooded seal). RNAcentral's name for it is "tRNA-Arg". It matches the Rfam family "tRNA". From Rfam's summary of the family: Transfer RNA (tRNA) molecules are approximately 80 nucleotides in length. Their secondary structure includes four short double-helical elements and three loops (D, anti-codon, and T loops). Further hydrogen bonds mediate the characteristic L-shaped molecular structure. tRNAs have two regions of fundamental functional importance: the anti-codon, which is responsible for specific mRNA codon recognition, and the 3' end, to which the tRNAs corresponding amino acid is attached (by aminoacyl-tRNA synthetases). tRNAs cope with the degeneracy of the genetic code in two manners: having more than one tRNA (with a specific anti-codon) for a particular amino acid; and 'wobble' base-pairing, i.e. permitting non-standard base-pairing at the 3rd anti-codon position. The record is from RNAcentral. Lineage: Eukaryota; Metazoa; Chordata; Mammalia; Carnivora; Phocidae.